RNAcentral lists this ribosomal RNA (403 nucleotides) under uncultured Glomus. RNAcentral describes it as "SSU rRNA". It matches the Rfam family "Eukaryotic small subunit ribosomal RNA", at positions 569 to 976 of the family's 1831-position model. The record is from RNAcentral. Lineage: Eukaryota; Fungi; Glomeromycota; Glomeromycetes; Glomerales; Glomeraceae.
AGCAGCCGCGGUAAUUCCAGCUCCAAUAGCGUAUAUUAAAGUUGUUGCAGUUAAAAAGCUCGUAGUUGAAUUUCGGGAUUAGUACGCUGGUCGUGCCUUCGGUACGUACUGGUGUUACUGAUCCCUACCUUCUGACGAACCGUCAUGUCAUUAAUUUGAUGUGGCGGGGAAUCAGGACUGUUACUUUGAAAAAUUAGAGUGUUUAAAGCAGGCUCGCGCUUGAAUACAUUAGCAUGGAAUAAUGAAAUAGGACGUUCGAUCCUAUUUUGUUGGUUUCUAGGAUUGACGUAAUGAUUAAUAGGGAUAGGUCGGGGGCAUUAGUAUUCAAUUGUCAGAGGUGAAAUUCUUGGAUUUAUUGAAGACUAACUACUGCGAAAGCAUUUGCCAAGGAUGUUUUCAUUAA